CCCUUAGAUGUUCUGGGCUGCACGCGCGCUACACUGAUGCAUCCAACGAGUUUAUAACCUGAGCCGAUAGGCCUAGGUAAUCUUGUGAGUAUGCAUCGUGAUGGGGAUAGAUUAUUGCAAUUAUUAAUCUUCAACGAGGAAUGCCUAGUAAGCGCAAGUCAUCAGCUUGCGUUGAUUACGUCCCUGCCCUUUGUACACACCGCCCGUCGCUCCUACCGAUUGAAUGGUCCGGUGAAGCGUUCGGACCGUGGCCUUUGGACGGUUCGCCGUCUGUUGGCUGCGGGAAGUUCGUUAAACCUUAUCAUUUAGAGGAAGGAGAAGUCGUAACA
RNAcentral lists this ribosomal RNA (329 nucleotides) under uncultured eukaryote. RNAcentral's name for it is "partial 18S ribosomal RNA". It matches the Rfam family "Eukaryotic small subunit ribosomal RNA", at positions 1470 to 1796 of the family's 1831-position model. The record is from RNAcentral.